Molecule: non-coding RNA, 73 nt
Organism: Danio rerio (zebrafish)
Lineage: Eukaryota; Metazoa; Chordata; Actinopteri; Cypriniformes; Danionidae
Source: Rfam
GCCUUGUUGGCGCAGUAGGCAGUGCGUCAGUCUCAUAAUCUGAAGGUCGUGAGUUCGAGCCUUCCACGGGGCA